GAAAUGCGAUAAGUAAUGUGAAUUGCAGAAUUCAGUGAAUCAUCGAAUCUUUGAACGCACAUUGCGCCCGCCAGUAUUCUGGCGGGCAUGCCUGUUCGAGCGUCAUUUCAACCAUCAAGCCCCGGGCUUGUGUUGGGGACCUGCGGCUGCCGCAGGCCCUGAAAGGCAGUGGCGGGCUCGCUGUCACACCGAGCGUAGUAGCAUACAUCUCGCUCUGGGCGUGCUGCGGGUUCCGGCCGUUAAACCACCUUCGUAACCCAAGGUUGACCUCGGAUCAGGUAGGAAGACCCGCUGAACUUAAGC
This 303-nucleotide unclassified non-coding RNA is filed under the name plant metagenome. RNAcentral's name for it is "partial contains 5.8S ribosomal RNA, internal transcribed spacer 2, and large subunit ribosomal RNA". The stretch from base 1 to 105 matches the Rfam family "5.8S ribosomal RNA", at positions 50 to 154 of the family's 154-position model. The record is from RNAcentral.